RNAcentral lists this ribosomal RNA (194 nucleotides) under uncultured bacterium. RNAcentral describes it as "partial 16S ribosomal RNA". It matches the Rfam family "Bacterial small subunit ribosomal RNA", at positions 335 to 526 of the family's 1533-position model. The record is from RNAcentral. RNAcentral also lists the same sequence under 1 other name.
ACUCCUACGGGAGGCAGCAGUGAGGAAUAUUGGACAAUGGGCGCAAGCCUGAUCCAGCCAUGCCGCGUGCAGGAUGACGGUCCUAUGGAUUGUAAACUGCUUUUGUACAGGAAGAAACACUCCCUCGUGAGGGAGCUUGACGGUACUGUAAGAAUAAGGAUCGGCUAACUCCGUGCCAGCAGCCGCGGUAAUAC